UAAAUUAAUUAAAAAUUAAUAUCUUUUCAAUGUAAAUGAAAUGCUUUAAUAAGCUAUAAUUUA
This 63-nucleotide transfer RNA is filed under the name Arhopala moolaiana. RNAcentral describes it as "tRNA-Val". The record is from RNAcentral. Lineage: Eukaryota; Metazoa; Arthropoda; Insecta; Lepidoptera; Lycaenidae.